Molecule: ribosomal RNA, 433 nt
Filed under: uncultured bacterium
Lineage: Bacteria
Description: partial 16S ribosomal RNA
Rfam family: Bacterial small subunit ribosomal RNA
Source: RNAcentral
AACGAACGCUGGCGGCAUGCCUAACACAUGCAAGUCGAACGAGCCCUUCGGGUCUAGUGGCGCACGGGUGCGUAACGCGUGGGAACCUGCCCUUAGGUUCGGAAUAACUCCCCGAAAGGGGUGCUAAUACCGGAUAAUGUCUUCGGCCCAAAGAUUUAUCGCCUUUGGAUGGGCCCGCGUUGGAUUAGCUAGUUGGUAGGGUAAAAGCCUACCAAGGCGACGAUCCAUAGCUGGUCUGAGAGGAUGAUCAGCCACACUGGGACUGAGACACGGCCCAGACUCCUACGGGAGGCGGCAGUGGGGAAUAUUGCACAAUGGGCGAAAGCCUGAUCCAGCAAUGCCGCGUGAGUGAUGAAGGCCUUAGGGUUGUAAAGCGCUUUUACCCGGGAUGAUAAUGACAGUACCGGGAGAAUAAGCUCCGGCUAACUCCGUG